Molecule: ribosomal RNA, 507 nt
Filed under: uncultured bacterium
Lineage: Bacteria
Description: bacterial SSU rRNA
Rfam family: Bacterial small subunit ribosomal RNA
Source: RNAcentral
CGGCGUGCCUAAUACAUGCAAGUCGAACGGUCUUUCUAUGGAAGCUGCUUCCACUGAGAAGAUAGUGGCGAACGGGUGAGUAACACGUGGGUAACCUGCCCAUAAGAGGGGGAUAACAUCCGGAAACGGGUGCUAAUACCGCAUAGUUUUCUUGAUCGCAUGAUUGAGAAAGGAAAGACGGCCUUUGUGCUGUCGCUUAUGGAUGGACCCGCGGCGUAUUAGUUAGUUGGUGAGGUAACGGCUCACCAAGACGAUGAUACGUAGCCGACCUGAGAGGGUGAUCGGCCACAUUGAGACUGAGACACGGCCCAAACUCCUACGGGAGGCAGCAGUAGGGAAUCUUCCGCAAUGGACGAAAGUCUGACGGAGCAACGCCGCGUGAGUGAAGAAAAGGGUUUUCGGAUCGUAAAACUCUGUUGUCAGAGAAGAACAAGUUGGAGAGUAACUCGCUCCAGCCUUGACGGUAUCUGACCAGAAAGCCACGGCUAACUACGUGCCAGCCGCAGC